This 509-nucleotide ribosomal RNA is filed under the name uncultured bacterium. RNAcentral's name for it is "partial 16S ribosomal RNA". The record is from RNAcentral.
GGAGUUAGCCGGUGCUUCUUCUGUGAGUGAUGUCCUUCCUGCCGGCUAUUAACCCGCAGGCCUUCUUCCUCACUGAAAGUGCUUUACAACCCGAAGGCCUUCUUCACACACGCGGCAUGGCUGGAUCAGGGUUGCCCCCAUUGUCCAAUAUUCCCCACUGCUGCCUCCCGUAGGAGUCUGGGCCGUGUCUCAGUCCCAGUGUGGCUGAUCAUCCUCUCAGACCAGCUACGGAUCGUCGCCUUGGUGAGCCGUUACCUCACCAACCAGCUAAUCCGACAUAGGCUCAUCCGAUAGCGCGAGGCCCGAAGGUCCCCCGCUUUCCCCCGUAGGGCGUAUGCGGUAUUAGCCUGGGUUUCCCCAGGUUAUCCCCCACUACCGGGCAGAUUCCUAUGCAUUACUCACCCGUCCGCCGCUCGCCACCAGGGAGCAGAAACUCCCCGUGCUGCCGCUCGACUUGCAUGUGUUAGGCCUGCCGCCAGCGUUCAAUCUGAGCCAGGAUCAAACUCUGA